GAUGAAGAACGCAGCGAAAUGCGAUACUUGGUGUGAAUUGCAGAAUCCCGUGAACCAUCGAGUCUUUGAACGCAAGUUGCGCCCGAAGCCAUUAGGCCGAGGGCACGCCUGCCUGGGCGUCACACGUCGUUGCCCCCCCCAUCUACUCCUUCGGGAUUGCGGGGGGCGGAUGAUGGCCUCCCGUGCGCCUCGCCGCGCGGUUGGCAUAAAUGCCAAGUCCUCGGCGAUGCACGCCACGACAAUCGGUGGUUGCGAAACCUCGGUUGCCCGUCGUGUGCGGUCGUCGCGCAUCGAGGGCUCGAAAAAAUUGCCGGGUUCCGGCUCGGCUUUCAACGCGACCCCAGGUCAGGCGGGGUUACCCGCUGAAUUUAAGCAUAUCAUAAGCGGAGGA
This 391-nucleotide unclassified non-coding RNA is filed under the name soil metagenome. RNAcentral describes it as "partial contains 5.8S ribosomal RNA, internal transcribed spacer 2, and large subunit ribosomal RNA". The stretch from base 1 to 122 matches the Rfam family "5.8S ribosomal RNA", at positions 35 to 154 of the family's 154-position model. The record is from RNAcentral.